Molecule: RNase P RNA, 403 nt
Filed under: Corynebacterium nuruki
Lineage: Bacteria; Bacillati; Actinomycetota; Actinomycetes; Mycobacteriales; Corynebacteriaceae
Description: Bacterial RNase P class A
Rfam family: Bacterial RNase P class A
About the family: Ribonuclease P (RNase P) is a ubiquitous endoribonuclease, found in archaea, bacteria and eukarya as well as chloroplasts and mitochondria.
Source: RNAcentral
CGGCCGGACGGCCGCGGGACGGGGACCAUCGCCACCAGGCGACAGGCCCGCAUUCCCGAGGAAAGUCCGGACUCCUCAGAGCACGGUGGUUGUUAACGGCAACCCGGGGUGACCCGCGGGACAGUGCCACAGAAAAACAGACCGCCCGGUGCGAGCCGGGUAAGGGUGAAAAGGUGCGGUAAGAGCGCACCAGUGCGGCAGGUGACUGCCGUAGCUGGGUAAACCCCACCGGGAGCAAGGUCAUGGAUGUCCGCACCGUCCGCGGUGCGGGCAGUGCCCCGUCGGCUGCUCGUCGGACAAGGGGCAGGUAGACCGCUCGAGACGGCCGGUGACGGCCGCCCCAGAUGGAUGAUCACCUCGUCCCGCAAGGGAUAGGACAGAAUCCGGCUCACAGACCCUCUCG